AACGUUACGGGAAACCGGAGCUAAUACCGGAUAAUAUAUUGAACCGCAUGGUUCAAUAGUGAAAGACGGUUUUGCUGUCACUUAUAGAUGGAUCCGCGCCGCAUUAGCUAGUUGGUAAGGUAACGGCUUACCAAGGCAACGAUGCGUAGCCGACCUGAGAGGGUGAUCGGCCACACUGGAACUGAGACACGGUCCAGACUCCUACGGGAGGCAGCAGAG
RNAcentral lists this ribosomal RNA (219 nucleotides) under uncultured Staphylococcus sp. RNAcentral describes it as "partial 16S ribosomal RNA". It matches the Rfam family "Bacterial small subunit ribosomal RNA", at positions 143 to 354 of the family's 1533-position model. Lineage: Bacteria; Bacillati; Bacillota; Bacilli; Caryophanales; Staphylococcaceae. The record is from RNAcentral.